Long non-coding RNA from Olea europaea var. sylvestris, 433 nucleotides. RefSeq lists it as uncharacterized. Lineage: Eukaryota; Viridiplantae; Streptophyta; Magnoliopsida; Lamiales; Oleaceae. The record is from RefSeq and is a predicted model, not a curated record. The transcript is spliced from 2 exons.
ACACCCAAACUCUCUCUCUCUCUCUCACAUUUUUGGAUAGACGUUUAUGUUACUUUCAUUUUUCUCUGAUUCGUCAAUCCAUAUACAUAAACCACCCUCUAACGAACGGAGAUUUUCAUCUUUCCAAGGAAGAAGACCGUGAGAAAAAAAUUCUGGUCAAGGGUAGUGUGCAAUGCGCAUACGAAAGCAAACUGCUCGUAAGUCCAUUGGAGGAAAGGCUCCCAAGAAGUAACUUGCUACUAUGGUUCUCCAUUGUUAUUGAUUUUUUUUUUUGCUUAUGAAUUCAUCCAUGUAAUAUAUUUUUGUAAUCAAGAUAAUUAAAAGCACCUAUGAUCUUUUUCCCCACAGCCCAUAGAGGAGAAAAACUAAGCUAUUUUUUGUAAUGUUCCCAUCACAAGAUUGAUUGGUUUAGCUGACAGGAGGGGUGUGUUAC